UACGUAGGGUGCAAGCGUUACUCGGAAUUACUGGGCGUAAAGCGUGCGCAGGCGGUGAUGUAAGACAGAUGUGAAAUCCCCGGGCUCAACCUGGGAACUGCAUUUGUGACUGCAUCGCUGGAGUACGGCAGAGGGGGAUGGAAUUCCGCGUGUAGCAGUGAAAUGCGUAGAUAUGCGGAGGAACACCGAUGGCGAAGGCAAUCCCCUGGGCCUGUACUGACGCUGAGGCGCGAAAGCGUGGGUAGCAAACGGG
This 253-nucleotide ribosomal RNA is filed under the name uncultured bacterium. RNAcentral describes it as "partial 16S ribosomal RNA". It matches the Rfam family "Bacterial small subunit ribosomal RNA", at positions 524 to 776 of the family's 1533-position model. The record is from RNAcentral.